GACCUAGCUGGUGGGAUGAGUCAUGAAGAGAGAGCACCCCAAGUCACAGAGAGAGAGGCCACAGGGCAAGCGAACAACAGAAGGGUCGCCAGAUUGGAUGAAAUCUGAUUCCCCAGACAGCCACAAAGAGGCCUCCCAGUGCCUUGAGUGAUGACUCUGAGUUCAGCCACAUCAGCUAAAGGUCUUUCAGCUCAAUAAAAUGGAUUGAAUCAGAGUCAUUUCUGAAUAAUGCCUUAACACAAAACUGCAUAACAGAGAGCAGAUUCUAGCUCAAAGACUUUAAGGGCAGCUGCUGAGCAGUUGAAAGAAUGGAGUGGGCUGGAUUGCAGUUAAAUGGAGGAAAAAAGCUGCUCUUGUAGAGAGAGAUGAAAAACGGACACACCCCUUCUGAAAAGAGAAUAAUCAGACACAAGGCAGGAUAUUUAUACCAGAAUUCCCUGCCUCCAUUUGCUGUUUGUUUCUCAUUAGAAUGUUUGUUUAGUAGCAUCUGAGACAAGGCAGUAAGAAGACUGGGAAACUUUAAUGAGCUCUGGAAGUGACAGUUUCCCAAUUGAAAAUUUGAUGAGAUGUUGUAUCUUAAAUCCAGCACAGCAUGUGCACAGAGUGAACAAAACAGCAGAAUAAAAUGUAUUUUAUUAAUGAUGAACCAAGGCUGGGCAUGAAAGAACCUUUUAAAUAUCUGAAAUGUUAAAAUGCGUCCUUUCCCUUCAGGAAAGGAAGUAUUCAAAGGGACAGGGCUGAUGAACUGAGUUUAUUAAAUUGACUUGGCAGUGAUGAAAAUAGUAUGGACGAGAGGACUGUUGUAUACUUCAAACACACUUACUGCAGUAAUGAACGUAAAG
Long non-coding RNA from Dermochelys coriacea (leatherback sea turtle), 842 nucleotides. RefSeq lists it as uncharacterized. The record is from RefSeq and is a predicted model, not a curated record. The transcript is spliced from 3 exons. Lineage: Eukaryota; Metazoa; Chordata; Testudines; Dermochelyidae.